Small nucleolar RNA from Dendrobium catenatum, 107 nucleotides. The record is from RefSeq and is a predicted model, not a curated record. Lineage: Eukaryota; Viridiplantae; Streptophyta; Magnoliopsida; Asparagales; Orchidaceae.
AAGGCAUCAUGAGGAUAUUUUUAAAGGAGUGAUUUAAAUCUCUCUAAUGAUUCAAAAAUAGAAUUGUCAUCUAACUGUUUAAAUUAAGUGAUAUCAUUUCUAAGCUU